This is a non-coding RNA of Sus scrofa (pig), 179 nucleotides long. NCBI's taxonomy places the organism in Eukaryota, Metazoa, Chordata, Mammalia, Artiodactyla, Suidae. The record is from RefSeq and is a predicted model, not a curated record.
GCAUCAGUGCUCAGAAAGUUGUUCCACCUUCCACCAAGAUGCUGGAUGAGGAGGACACUGACAAAGACGGGAUGAGUUUGGAGGUCGACACUCCAGUGACGAACCAUCGGGGUGACGACGACGAUGACGAAGAAGAUCUCCCCGAGAUAGUGCUGGAUGACGUGCCUGCGGUGAGGGUG